This is a long non-coding RNA of Photinus pyralis (common eastern firefly), 404 nucleotides long. RefSeq lists it as uncharacterized. NCBI's taxonomy places the organism in Eukaryota, Metazoa, Arthropoda, Insecta, Coleoptera, Lampyridae. The record is from RefSeq and is a predicted model, not a curated record. The transcript is spliced from 3 exons.
AGAAAAUUAAAGGAUCCCAAAUAGUUUCAUUUUGUUAAUAUUUCUUUCAGUGGAUACAGUGAAGGUCGAUCAUGCAUUACUUACGACGCCAUCAAUCAAGCCUAUUUAGAAGCAAGGAAAAGAUUUUCGGUUGCGAAUCCAAUUGGCGAGUGGAAGCCGGAACAUGUGAAAACCGUCGGAGAAGUUCUUCUGGACAUUUCUAUUAAUCUUGCGAGGACGUACGGUUUAAGUUAUGAAGAUAUCGAAAAGGGUUUACCCUUAAUCGAUACAUCACGAACACUGAUAAGUGAAAUUUGUCCUCCUUACCUCGCUAAUGUUGAAUGUCGGGCUGGAAAAUACAGGAGAUUUGAUGGACUUUGCACCAACUUGGAGCAUCCGACGUGGGGCGCUACAAAUACUCCAUU